UCUUUUAAUUGAAGGCUUGUAUGAAUGGUUGGACGAGAUAUUAGCUGUUUCAUAAAAAUUAUUUAUAGAAUUUUAUUUUUUAGUUAAAAAGCUAAAAUUGAAUUAAAAGACGAGAAGACCCUAUAGAUCUUUAUAUUCAUAUAUAUAUUAUUUAUUUAGAAUAAUUUAAAUAUUAUAUUUAUAAAUAUUUUAUUGGGGUGAUAGUAAAAUUUAAAAAACUUUUAUAUUUUAAAAACAUUAAUAUAUGAAAUAAUUGAUCCAUUAAUAGUGAUUAUUAAAUUAAGUUACCUUAGGGAUAACAGCGUAAUUUUUUUAGAGAGUUCUUAUCGAUAAAAAAGAUUGC
This 343-nucleotide ribosomal RNA is filed under the name Xylophagus ater. RNAcentral describes it as "partial 16S ribosomal RNA". The record is from RNAcentral. Lineage: Eukaryota; Metazoa; Arthropoda; Insecta; Diptera; Xylophagidae.